This is a non-coding RNA of Castor canadensis (American beaver), 2845 nucleotides long. The record is from RefSeq and is a predicted model, not a curated record. Lineage: Eukaryota; Metazoa; Chordata; Mammalia; Rodentia; Castoridae.
UUUCAGAGGGACAGUAAGUAAAUUCUUUAGUAGCACCUUCAGUACUGAGCAUUUUUCUGAUAGUGUGUCACUUUUCUGUUUUUUCAUUAGAUCAGGAGAACAAGCCUUGGCAUUCACUAUUUCAAGAAAUUAUGAACUGAAGUAUAAAAUUGCAUAAGCCAGAGAAAGGAAGAAUGCUGACACAUAUGGCCUGAUAGUUGGCAACGAUGUCGAUAAGAGGCUGGCAUUUGAAAUUGCCAGCUGUCUAGCCAGCUACUAUAUAACUUGAAUAGAAACUAUGAAUAUUGGUUGGUUAGCAAAGCCAAGGAACAAAAGCUAUGGCAGCUGAAGUGGUUGUUCUGAUUCCAGGAUAUUUUUCCUGGGUUUCAUCACCAGAAACUGCCUCUUCAUCUGAGCAGCAACGUGGCACCUGUUAUUGUUUGACAAAGAUUAAGGACAUGUUCUUCAGCCAACAGCCAGAACUUAAAAUCUGCUGGGAUAGAAUUAGAGACCAUUUCAUUCAUAGCUGAGGAAAAUGAAAUUUCCACUUUACCUGGUGCCUUGUGGAGGGAGUGCACUAAUGCUUCCAGGAACGUGUGAGUGAAAAAGAGGUUCAACACAAACUCAUGGUUAUGGCGAGUGACCCAACGUGAUCAGAGGGGGCAAGAGCCACAGAGGACUCAUGACGGGCUAUACCAUGUUGCGAAAUGGGGGAGUGGGGAAUGGAGGUCAAACCUGUAUGUUGCGCUGGUCCAACCGUAUCCGACUCUCAUGGCUCAGUUUCAUUCUCUUUAUCAUUCUGGUGUUCUUCCCCCUCAUUGCCCACUAUUACCUCACAACUCUGGACGAGACUGACGAGGCGGGCAAGCGUAUCUUUGGCCCAAGGGCUGGGAGCGAGCUCUGCGAAGUAAAGCAUGUGUUGGACCUCUGUCGCAUUCGUGAGUCUGUGAGUGAAGAGCUCUUACAGUUGGAAGCCAAGCGGCAAGAGCUGAAUAGUGAAAUUGCCAAGCUAAAUCUUAAGAUAGAAGCCUGCAAGAAGAGUAUCGAGAACGCCAAGCAGGACCUGCUGCAGCUCAAGAAUGUCAUUAGCCAGACUGAGCAUUCCUACAAAGAGCUGAUGGCUCAGAAUCAGCCCAAACUUUCUCUGCCUAUACGAUUGCUCCCUGAGAAGGACGAUGCUGGCUUUCCUCCCCCAAAGGUUCCUCGGGGUUGCCGGCUGCACAAUUGUUUUGAUUAUUCUCGUUGUCCUCUCACCUCUGGUUUUCCGGUCUAUGUUUAUGACAGUGACCAGUUUGCCUUUGGCAGCUACCUGGACCCCUUGGUCAAGCAGGCUUUUCAGGCUACAGCACGAGCCAAUGUUUAUGUUACAGAAAAUGCAGACAUCGCCUGCCUAUAUGUGAUAUUAGUGGGAGAAAUGCAGGAGCCCCUAGUGCUGCGGCCUGCUGACCUUGAGAAGCAGCUGUAUUCCCUACCAAAUUGGCGGACAGAUGGACAUAAUCAUGUCAUCAUCAAUCUGUCCUGGAAGUCGGACACACAGAAUUUACUGUACAAUGUUAGUACAGGCCGGGCCAUGGUGGCUCAGUCCACUUUCUAUGCUGCCCAGUACAGACCUGGCUUUGACUUGGUAGUGUCACCACUUGUCCAUGCCAUGUCAGAGCCCAACUUCAUGGAAAUCCCACCACAGGUGCCAGUUAAGCGGAAAUAUCUUUUCACGUUCCAGGGUGAGAAGAUCGAAUCCCUGAGAUCCAGCCUUCAGGAGGCCCGCUCCUUUGAAGAAGAAAUAGAGGGUGACCCUCCAGCUGACUAUGACGAUCGGAUCAUUGCCACCCUAAAGGCUGUACAGGACAGCAAGUUAGAUCAGGUCCUGGUAGAAUUUACCUGCAAAAACCAGCUGAAGCCCAGUCUGCCUACUGAGUGGGCACUGUGUGGGGAGCGGGAGGACCGCCUUGAAUUACUGAAGCUUUCCACCUUUGCCCUUAUCAUCACUCCUGGGGACCCCCACUUGGUUAUUUCAUCUGGGUGUGCAACACGGCUCUUUGAAGCUCUGGAAGUUGGCGCUGUCCCAGUGGUGUUGGGGGAGCAAGUACAGCUUCCAUACCAGGACAUGCUGCAGUGGAAUGAGGCUGCCCUGGUGGUACCCAAGCCACGUGUUACUGAGGUUCACUUCCUGUUACGAAGUCUCUCCGAUAGUGAUCUACUGGCUAUGAGGCGACAAGGCCGCUUUCUCUGGGAGACUUACUUCUCUACCGCUGACAGUAUUUUUAAUACCGUGCUGGCUAUGAUUAGGACUCGAAUACAGAUCCCAGCUGCUCCUAUCCGGGAGGAGGUAGCAGCUGAGAUCCCCCAUCGUUCAGGCAAGGCGGCUGGAACGGACCCCAACAUGGCCGACAAUGGGGACCUGGACCUAGGGCCCGUAGAGACAGAGCCGCCCUAUGCCUCACCCAGAUACCUCCGCAACUUUACUCUGACUGUCACUGACUUUUACCGCAGCUGGAACUCUGCUCCGGGGCCUUUCCAUCUUUUCCCCCACACACCCUUUGACCCUGUGUUGCCCUCAGAGGCCAAAUUCUUGGGCUCAGGGACUGGAUUUCGGCCUAUUGGUGGUGGAGCUGGGGGUUCUGGCAAGGAGUUUCAGGCAGCGCUUGGAGGCAAUGUGCCACGAGAACAAUUCACAGUGGUGAUGUUGACUUACGAGCGAGAAGAAGUGCUGAUGAACUCCUUGGAGAGACUGAAUGGCCUCCCUUACCUGAACAAGGUAGUAGUGGUGUGGAAUUCUCCCAAGCUGCCAUCAGAGGACUUGCUGUGGCCUGACAUUGGCGUCCCCAUCAUGGUAAUAGAAAGACGGGCAGUUUGUUUUACUGCAUGA